Solanum verrucosum is the source of this 692-nucleotide long non-coding RNA. RefSeq lists it as uncharacterized. NCBI's taxonomy places the organism in Eukaryota, Viridiplantae, Streptophyta, Magnoliopsida, Solanales, Solanaceae. The transcript is spliced from 3 exons. The record is from RefSeq and is a predicted model, not a curated record.
AGAAGUAGACGAUUCUCUGUGGCAUUUCGUCGAACAGUUUAUGUACAAUAUAAAGAACCACCCUCUGCUCUCCAUUGCUAUCCCAUUAAACCUCGGAAUACGCCUCCUAAUCUCUUCAUCGGCAAUGGCCGCCGGUACGGAAACGUUUUCUUCGAUGAGAAUUACAAUCUUGUCCCUGAAUUUCCUUCUUGGAAUCGUCUCUUGCAUCAUUUCAAUUCCUCCGGCCUGGUUGAUCAGGAAAAGGUGAAAGAAUUUGUUGCUGAGCAAGUUCAAGAAUCGGAAGAGGGAAUUUCUACGGACUGCAUUGUUAGUGGUGCCUUUAUGAAAAUUGUUGGAAAAGAGCAAGAGUUUUGUUAUGGUUAAGGAUUGGGAACAAAGCCAACAAGUAGGAGAUCCACACAUAGAAUUUACAAGCAAUUAUAAGCACAAAAGGGAGCUAGGAAAAGAAUGUCAUUAACGAGAGAGUAUAGGAUCCGAUGGAAGUACAAAAUUAUCUUGUGGAGAAAUGGAAAACUCGAGAAGUCAUGAAAGCUCGUCUUGAACGGGCAAAAAUCUUAAGUGAGUAUCAUGGCACUAUUUUCCCAUAUUCAGAAUUCAAGUCCUCCUUUUGAGCCAUACGAUCCAAGGUAUGCUGCCAUGGGUCUACCCAUGGAUCCUUACUUGCGUGCAUUCAAGCUGAACCCCAACUUAGG